Long non-coding RNA from Triplophysa rosa, 567 nucleotides. RefSeq lists it as uncharacterized. The record is from RefSeq and is a predicted model, not a curated record. NCBI's taxonomy places the organism in Eukaryota, Metazoa, Chordata, Actinopteri, Cypriniformes, Nemacheilidae. The transcript has 3 exons.
CCGCAGCUGAAGCUGAGACAAUGCAUCAUUUUAAACAUGGCAGCUUUCACAAGGAUGUAACCGAUCUGCCUUUAAUUUCAGAUGGGAAAUGCUUGCCUCAAGAUUGUAGAAGAAGCUGCACGACAACAUUUACUGUGUACUAUUGUGGCCCGGUUUCACAGACAAGGCUUAGCUUAUGCCAGGACUAGGCCUUAGUUAAUUAUCUGCAUGCUGAUGUAUGCACCUGCACAUCGUGUCCAUUAACAUUCACAGAGGUGCAGCAGCCAGCCAUUGUCAGAGACCUACAUUCAGCAUGAGACUGAAUACAAAGUCACAGAGACUUAUUCCAUGGGGAGGUGACAGAGCCUGUAUUUUUGCGGAUGCACAGGGACAAUCAACAAAAUGUCAUCAGAAAGGUCCUGAGGGGUCAAUUUUCCAAGGCGAAGGAUGACUUUUUGUUUGUAUUUCAGUAUCAAGAAGACAUGGAAACAUUUUUUGGCAUACUGUAUUGAUGAACACGGCCUAAAGGUCAAUGCCAUGUUCCUCAAUCAGCAAUUUUAAGUAGAUGAAUAGAUUAGUGAGUGAGGG